UCAAAGGAAUUGACGGGGGCCCGCACAAGCGGCGGAGCAUGUGGUUUAAUUCGAAGCAACGCGCAGAACCUUACCAGCUCUUGACAUUCGGGGUAUGGGCAUUGGAGACGAUGUCCUUCAGUUAGGCUGGCCCCAGAACAGGUGCUGCAUGGCUGUCGUCAGCUCGUGUCGUGAGAUGUUGGGUUAAGUCCCGCAACGAGCGCAACCCUCGCCCUUAGUUGCCAGCAUUUAGUUGGGCACUCUAAGGGGACUGCCGGUGAUAAGCCGAGAGGAAGGUGGGGAUGACGUCAAGUCCUCAUGGCCCUUACGGGCUGGGCUACACACGUGCUACAAUGGUGGUGACAGUGGGCAGCGAGACAGCGAUGUCGAGCUAAUCUCCAAAAGCCAUCUCAGUUCGGAUUGCACUCUGCAACUCGAGUGCAUGAAGUUGGAAUCGCUAGUAAUCGCAGAUCAGCAUGCUGCGGUGAUACGUUCCCGGG
This 479-nucleotide ribosomal RNA is filed under the name Streptomyces capoamus. RNAcentral describes it as "bacterial SSU rRNA". It matches the Rfam family "Bacterial small subunit ribosomal RNA", at positions 901 to 1378 of the family's 1533-position model. Lineage: Bacteria; Bacillati; Actinomycetota; Actinomycetes; Kitasatosporales; Streptomycetaceae. The record is from RNAcentral.